This 28-nucleotide non-coding RNA is filed under the name Rattus norvegicus (Norway rat). The record is from RNAcentral. Lineage: Eukaryota; Metazoa; Chordata; Mammalia; Rodentia; Muridae.
UACUGUCUACAGUCAAUCGUUGAGCAGU